RNAcentral lists this ribosomal RNA (397 nucleotides) under uncultured bacterium. Its description in RNAcentral is "partial 16S ribosomal RNA". It matches the Rfam family "Bacterial small subunit ribosomal RNA", at positions 523 to 918 of the family's 1533-position model. The record is from RNAcentral.
AUACGUAGGGGGCGAGCGUUGUCCGGAAUGAUUGGGCGUAAAGGGCGCGUAGGCGGCCCGGUAAGUCUGGAGUGAAAGUCCUGUUUUUAAGAUGGGAAUUGCUUUGGAUACUGUCGGGCUUGAGUGCAGGAGAGGUAAGUGGAAUUCCCAGUGUAGCGGUGAAAUGCGUAGAGAUUGGGAGGAACACCAGUGGCGAAGGCGACUUACUGGACUGUAACUGACGCUGAGGCGCGAAAGUGUGGGGAGCAAACAGGAUUAGAUACCCUGGUAGUCCACACUGUAAACGAUGAAUGCUAGGUGUAGGGGGUAUCGACCCCUUCUGUGCCGCAGUCAACACAGUAAGCAUUCCGCCUGGGGAGUACGGCCGCAAGGUUGAAACUCAAAGGAAUUGACGGGG